RNAcentral lists this ribosomal RNA (450 nucleotides) under uncultured bacterium. RNAcentral's name for it is "bacterial SSU rRNA". It matches the Rfam family "Bacterial small subunit ribosomal RNA", at positions 340 to 786 of the family's 1533-position model. The record is from RNAcentral.
UACGGAAGGCAGCAGGGGGAAUAUUGCACAAUGGGCGCAAGCCUGAUGCAGCCAUGCCGCGUGUAUGAAAAGGCCUUCGGGUUGUAAAGUACUUUCAGUCGUGAGGAAGGUGUUAAGGUUAAUAACCUUAGCAAUUGACGUUAGCGACAGAAGAAGCACCGGCUAACUCCGUGCCAGCAGCCGCGGUAAUACGGAGGGUGCGAGCGUUAAUCGGAAUUACUGGGCGUAAAGGGCACGCAGGCGGUUAAUUAAGUUGGAUGUGAAAUCCCCGGGCUUAACCUGGGAAUGGCAUUCAAGACUGGUUAGCUAGAGUCUUGUAGAGGGGGUAGAAUUCCAUGUGUAGCGGUGAAAUGCGUAGAGAUGUGGAGGAAUACCGGUGGCGAAGGCGGCCCCUGGACAAAGACUGACGCUCAUGUGCGAAAGCUGGGGAGCAAACAGGGAUUAGAUACC